CUCAACUGCUAUCUUCAUUCUUCUUUGCCUCUUCUCUCUCAAAUAGCUCACUUUCUUCAAGGAAAUGGCAUCAGGAUCCAAUUCCAGUGAAGAUGAGGAAGAUGGUGUAAGAAGGGCUAGAAAUCUCACGAGAGCCACUGAGGGAGAAGUCUACCCGAACAUCGACAAUGAAAGCAACCUUACAAUCGCACAACGAUUACAAGGCAUGUGGCUAGUCUAGCUUCGCGAGCGUAAUGACUCUCAAAAGAUGGAGAAGAUUCCAGUGAUGGAAUGGCAUGACGCGGACCAAUGCUACAAGAUCGAUGGUGUCCUCUCCCAUAUGCCUAUGAGAAGCCUCCUUUUGUUAGUUUCACUCCCCUAUGCUACAAGAUCGAUGGUGUCCUCCUUUUGGG
Non-coding RNA from Salvia hispanica, 392 nucleotides. Lineage: Eukaryota; Viridiplantae; Streptophyta; Magnoliopsida; Lamiales; Lamiaceae. The record is from RefSeq and is a predicted model, not a curated record.